This 440-nucleotide ribosomal RNA is filed under the name uncultured bacterium. RNAcentral describes it as "partial 16S ribosomal RNA". It matches the Rfam family "Bacterial small subunit ribosomal RNA", at positions 338 to 795 of the family's 1533-position model. The record is from RNAcentral.
CCUACGGGGGGCAGCAGUAGGGAAUAUUGCUCAAUGGGGGAAACCCUGAAGCAGCAACGCCGCGUGGAGGAUGAAGGUUUUCGGAUUGUAAACUCCUUUUGUUAGAGAAGAUAAUGACGGUAUCUAACGAAUAAGCACCGGCUAACUCCGUGCCAGCAGCCGCGGUAAUACGUAGGGUGCAAGCGUUACUCGGAAUCACUGGGCGUAAAGAGCGCGGAGGCGGGAUAGCAAGUCAGAUGUGAAAUCCUAUGGCUUAACCAUAGAACUGCAUUUGAAACUGUUAGUCUAGAGUAUGGGAGAGGUAGGUGGAAUUCUUGGUGUAGGGGUAAAAUGCGUAGAGAUCAAGAGGAAUACUGAUUGCGAAGGCGACCUGCUAGAACAUAACUGACGCUGAUGCGCGAAAGCGUGGGGAGCAAACAGGAUUAGAUACCCUUGUAGUC